Molecule: ribosomal RNA, 253 nt
Filed under: uncultured bacterium
Lineage: Bacteria
Description: partial 16S ribosomal RNA
Rfam family: Bacterial small subunit ribosomal RNA
Source: RNAcentral
UACAGAGGUCUCAAGCGUUGUUCGGAUUCAUUGGGCGUAAAGGGUGCGUAGGUGGCGCGCUAAGUCGGGUGUGAAAUCUCGGAGCUUAACUCCGAAAUUGCAUUCGAUACUGGCGUGCUUGAGGACUGGAGAGGAGACUGGAAUUCAUGGUGUAGCAGUGAAAUGCGUAGAGAUCAUGAGGAAGACCAGUGGCGAAGGCGGUUACCUGGACAGUUACUGACGCUCAGGCACGAAAGCAUGGGGAGCAAAAGGG